CACGGUGUGGCCUCAGCAUCAGGGAUAUUUGCAACAUCCAUAUGGCUUCCAGAACAAGAGAGCAGGGAGGUCGGCAUCUACGAUUAAUAAGACAUAGAGAAGUCAUUCACCAGAAGUCCUCUUAGAAAAAGCAGUGCUUUUGACUGGAAAAGAAUGAUGAGUUGCAAAAGUAUGAUAGAGGAAACUGAGGUACUGACAGGUCAGAGCGCCUCCGAGAGAAAAAGGCGGUGGCCUUGGAGCUCUGGUCUCCUUAACUGCACCCUGGGAAGUCUUCACACGGCCUUUCUUCCCCUGGUGGUCUAAUCUGGAGUCAGAUCCAGCCGUCAGCUCUUACAGACGGGGAAGGACCGGGAGCCAACGGGAAAACAACAGGUUUCUAUAAUUCAUCAUUCACUCCUUUCUGAAAACCUAGAAUGAAAAAGUUUAGCAGCUCAGCGCCGCGGCCUCUCUCCAUUCUCUCCCCAAACACAUCGGCCUGUUUGUUCUCUUUCAUCCCCGCUCUUCCUGUUGCAUUCUGCCGGUUCAAUGGGGAAGGAGUGAAACCGGAUGGCUGGACCCAGUGCGGGGAAAUGACUUCAGAGCCACCUUUGUUUCCCUCAUUCCUUUGAGCGCACUUGGCCCUGCGUCUCUAUGAAAGGGCUUGUUUGAACCAUUCGGAACAUCCAGCAAGCCAGAGAUGCUGCGGCCAGAACCGCUCGCAUCUUUUCAGGCUGCCUGAGACUCUGGGUUAAACUGCCAAAUUUUUGCAACAAAACUAACCAUGACAUUGGACAUUGUGUUAUAAAUUAGCCACAGCCUUCCAAGCAAAUUGUCUCUUUUUAUUGUAUCAGUGUAAGCCUCGGAAACAUU
This 849-nucleotide long non-coding RNA is filed under the name Homo sapiens (human). Its description in RNAcentral is "long independently transcribed non-coding RNA 945 (LINC00945)". The record is from RNAcentral. Lineage: Eukaryota; Metazoa; Chordata; Mammalia; Primates; Hominidae.